Molecule: non-coding RNA, 66 nt
Organism: Portunus trituberculatus (swimming crab)
Lineage: Eukaryota; Metazoa; Arthropoda; Malacostraca; Decapoda; Portunidae
Source: the annotation of a RefSeq genome assembly
AAUAGGGUGGCUGAGAAUAUAGGCGUUAGAUUGUAAAUCUAAAGACAAGUUUAAACUUCCUUAUUA